Molecule: long non-coding RNA, 991 nt
Organism: Rosa rugosa (rugosa rose)
Lineage: Eukaryota; Viridiplantae; Streptophyta; Magnoliopsida; Rosales; Rosaceae
Exons: 6
Source: RefSeq, a predicted model, not a curated record
GUAUCAUCAUGGAUUCUUCUGCCAGCUAUGAAUAGGAUAUGAAAAGCUGGUGAUGUGGAGAUAUUAGCUGUCACCGAUGUCGUAUGGACUGAAUGACAGCCGGUGCAAUCAAUUCCUUGGAAGAAGUUGGAGACAUAUCCUUACCAACUCAACAGAACCUUUAGGAGUAAUGGUCUCUUGAAGUCUUGAGAAGUGUUCCCAGAAGCACGUUGGUACUGGAUUGGUGUAGUAGCUUUAUUUGGAUUUAUUCUUCUAUAUAUUCAACUUCCUUUUUAUUUUGGCACUUCAGUAUCUUCAACCUCUUGGUAAGCCUCAUGCAGUACUUUCCAAAGAGGCCUUGGCAAAGAAACAAGCCACCGAAACUAGAGAGGUCUUUGAAUUAUUGUCAACAGGAAAGAGCUAUAUUGGUGCAGCUAAUGAAAGAAUAAAUAAUGUGUUAGUCGAUCUUACUGAUUAGCGAGGAAUGGUUCUUCUUUUUAAAUCCCUCUCAGUUACAUCUGAUAAAAUCAGAUAUGCUGUUGACAUGCCACAGUGAAUGCCAGAUGCAAUAUAUGUCACCAAUUGAGGGAAUCUAAUGUAUUUUUGUUAUAUCUAACCAUUUUUGUAACCAAUAUCAAAAACAACUUUGGUUAGAAUAUUUUUUGAAAAACUGUAAAUAGCCAAGCUUGGUCUGUUUAGAACUUCGAUUUUUGGAACAUAUAAAUAUAUGAAACUGGUAGAACACCAGAUUUUGAAAUAUGUAAAUAUACAUCGUGCAACGAAAAUGUAUACAUAUACCCGCAGCAUCGCGCGGGAUAUCUAUCUAGUAUAUAUUAUGAGAGACAUCAGAAACCAAUGAAGACAAUAGGCUUGCAUUUUAAAUGACAGAGCUAAAUUUUUUCGGAUCUUCCCAUUUAUUGAAUGUAGGUCAUGGUUUAUGGUACAUGUAGCAAACAAAUUCUGAAUGUAAAACUGCCUCAGUGGUUCUGUGUUCGUUUCUCUCAAUGAAAAA